RNAcentral lists this microRNA (21 nucleotides) under Medicago truncatula (barrel medic). Its description in RNAcentral is "mtr-miR7701-3p". The record is from miRBase by way of RNAcentral. Lineage: Eukaryota; Viridiplantae; Streptophyta; Magnoliopsida; Fabales; Fabaceae.
UUAGGUUCAUUCAAUUAAUGA